This 457-nucleotide ribosomal RNA is filed under the name uncultured bacterium. RNAcentral describes it as "bacterial SSU rRNA". It matches the Rfam family "Bacterial small subunit ribosomal RNA", at positions 531 to 987 of the family's 1533-position model. The record is from RNAcentral.
GUGGCAAGCGUUGUCCGGAAUUAUUGGGCGUAAAGCGCGCGCAGGCGGAUCAGUUAGUCUGUCUUAAAAGUUCGGGGCUUAACCCCGUGAUGGGAUGGAAACUGCUGAUCUAGAGUAUCGGAGAGGAAAGUGGAAUUCCUAGUGUAGCGGUGAAAUGCGUAGAUAUUAGGAAGAACACCAGUGGCGAAGGCGACUUUCUGGACGAAAACUGACGCUGAGGCGCGAAAGCCAGGGGAGCGAACGGGAUUAGAUACCCCGGUAGUCCUGGCCGUAAACGAUGGGUACUAGGUGUAGGAGGUAUCGACCCCUUCUGUGCCGGAGUUAACGCAAUAAGUACCCCGCCUGGGGAGUACGACCGCAAGGUUGAAACUCAAAGGAAUUGACGGGGGCCCGCACAAGCGGUGGAGUAUGUGGUUUAAUUCGACGCAACGCGAAGAACCUUACCAGGUCUUGACAU